This 253-nucleotide ribosomal RNA is filed under the name uncultured bacterium. Its description in RNAcentral is "partial 16S ribosomal RNA". It matches the Rfam family "Bacterial small subunit ribosomal RNA", at positions 524 to 776 of the family's 1533-position model. The record is from RNAcentral.
UACGUAGGGGGCAAGCGUUGUCCGGAUUUAUUGGGCGUAAAGCGCGUGUAGGCGGCCAGGUAGGUCCGCUGUGAAAACCCGAGGCUCAACCUCGGGACGUCGGCGGAAACCAUCUGGCUAGAGUCCGGAAGAGGAGAGUGGAAUUCCCGGUGUAGCGGUGAAAUGCGCAGAUAUCGGGAAGAACACCCGUGGCGAAGGCGGCUCUCUGGACAGUUCCUGACACUGAGGCACGAAGGCCAGGGGAGCAAACGGG